UCAGCUGGAGGAUACAUGAUGGUGCAGUGAGGAGAUUGGGGGAGGUCCGAUACAUACCCGAUUUCAGGCGGAAUCUUAUCUCACUUAGCAGACUGGAUUCGAGAGGCUACAGGACGGUAGCUGGUGGAGGAAUCGUAAGGCUGCUACGCGGCGAUAGGAUUGUGCUGGAGGGGAAGAAGGGGAGCAGAGGACAUUAUUACCUGGCAGGGAGCCCAGUGCGAGGUGGAGCAUCGGGAGCCAGACGGAGCCCAGAGCGAGGUGGAGCUCCAGGAGGCGGAUCGGGCACGAGACAGGAGACUCGGGAGGACGAGAGGCGACGUCGCAAGGUAAGAUUCCUAUUGCCACAGGAUGAUGCCCCGAGCAGGUCUCAGGUCAGGAGGAGCACAGCAUACAACGGAGAUGGGAUCGAGCAGCCUGGCUCGACUCCCAUGUUUGCCCAUCCAUGAU
This 447-nucleotide long non-coding RNA is filed under the name Elaeis guineensis (African oil palm). Its description in RNAcentral is "long non-coding RNA (EGUI_LNC000736)". The record is from RNAcentral. Lineage: Eukaryota; Viridiplantae; Streptophyta; Magnoliopsida; Arecales; Arecaceae.